This 465-nucleotide unclassified non-coding RNA is filed under the name Hevea brasiliensis (rubber tree). Lineage: Eukaryota; Viridiplantae; Streptophyta; Magnoliopsida; Malpighiales; Euphorbiaceae. The record is from RNAcentral.
CCUCGCUCUCUCUCUCUCUCUCUCGCUUUCCAUUAAAGUGAAGAGUGUAGUAAUAUUCUAGGGGAGAGCUCUCUUUACUUACCAACACAGCCUGUUCAACUUGGUUCCUAGUAUUUGUUAUAUGGCUGCGUGGAUUAUGUCCUCCUUCAAUUGGGCAACACAUGUAUAUUUGCGGCAAUUUUUUUUUAGUCCCUUUGUUAAUUUAGGAAUGGACAGAAAUUGCAUAGCUGGAUUCGUGAUUCAUUUAUUGUUUUGGGUUUUGUAGGUAUUAUAUUUUGCAUGUGAACUUAAUUGAUGCAUGAAAAUGCUGGUCCAGUUAAUAUGAAUGAAAUGGAUAUCUCCAUCUUAUUUGAGAACGAGUUUUAUAUAGCCGCCCCAUCAUAUAGGUUGUAAGUUUUAUAUUGUACUUUUUUUAAAAAAAAUCAAUAUAUGUAAAUAUAAAAUGUGGUUUUUGUAGCGAAAAAU